Molecule: long non-coding RNA, 3402 nt
Filed under: Canis lupus familiaris (dog)
Lineage: Eukaryota; Metazoa; Chordata; Mammalia; Carnivora; Canidae
Description: lncRNA (ENSCAFG00000058191.1, ENSCAFG00845017279.1)
Source: RNAcentral
AAUAUGUGGUCAGUCUUUAAUUAAAAAAAAAAAUAUUUUCCUGUUACUUCUUUUACUCAAUCUUUCUGUUCUCAACUCCUGGAUCUCAAACACACACACACACACACACAUACAUUCAUUCAUUCAAAAAUAUUUACUGAGCAUUUAUCCAUGCACCUGACACUGUGAUAGAUGUAGGAUAUUCUCUAUAUAUGGCUCCUAAUCUCAUGAAGUUUCAUUUUAAAGGGAUGGUGUUUGCCUGGAUCUUCUGUCUCAACUUUUCUCAUAAUUUCCUUCUUCUGAUCUUUUCUUCUAUGAUUCUGGUAGUAUCCUUCAGCUUAAAAUUUUGGCUCAGUAAUUUGAUUUUCAGACAUGUUUAUUCAAACUUGGCCUAAAACACAUCUUUAUUUUAGCAACUACUAUUUUUUAUUUCCAAGAUAUUUCCUUCUCAUAGGUUUGCAUUUUUCUAUUUAUUUUAUAAGUUUUUUUUUAUUUAUUCAUGAGAGACACAGAGAGAGAGACAGAGGCAGAGACACAGGCAGAGGAAGAAGCAGGCUCCAUGCAGGGAGCCCGAUGCGGGACUUGAUCCUGGUACUCCAGGAUCACGCCCUGGGCCAAAGGCAGGCAUUAAACCACUGAGCCACCCAGGGAUCCCCUGCAUUUUUUUAAAUUAGUGCAAUAACCUCUAAAAUUCUUUGAAGAUUAUAAUAUAUAAUACUGUAUCUAAGGAUUACAUAUAAAAAUAUUUAUAAUUAUUGCUUAUUAUUACAUAUAAUAUUAAAUUUACUUUAGCAUUUGCUAAAAUAUUUUUAAGUUUAAAGUUGUUGUUUUACCUGUACUGUUGCUCUCUUCCUUAAAUGUUUGUUGCUUCUAUGUUGUCUGUUAUUGGUAAAUCAGAACAUAGGGGUCAGCAAACUUUUUCUGUAAAGGUCCCGUUACUAUUUUAGGCUUUGGAGGCCACCAUUAGGUAUCUGUCACGUAUCUUUUUGUUUUCUACAACCCUCUAAAAAUGUAAAAUCCAUACAAAAACAGGCAGUGGGAGGCUUGCAGAUGGUGGUUUGUAAAACUACUAGAUUUUUCAGUAUUGUUACCUGGUUUAUUUUCUCAAUUUGAGUGAAAUUCUGUGGCAGAUUUUUAUUACAAGGAACCUGGAUUUUAAUUGUGUGAAGGAGGAGGGAGGAAUAAGUUGGAAAAAUGGACAGCCACUAGGUUUUACUGUUUACCCAUUUUCUAACUAUGAGGAAUCAAAGCCCCUUAUGGUAUCCACAAACACCUAGGGCAUUAGCACACUUUGAUGGCUGCUAUAAAUAUGCUCUGGAGUCUACUACUACAGACGUUUCACUCUAAUUAGCAAACAGCAAGCUGUGGUAUGGCUUCUGACUGGAGGAGUAUCAUGGACCAAGACUCCUAAACCAGGGACUAGCCUAACUACUCAGUCCUUCAAUAACCUGGCUUACCAUACUACAGCCACCCACUCUGACAGCUGACUCAAAAAAUGGAGGUGUAGGCCACCUGGGUGGCUAAGUCGGUUAAGCAUCCGACUCCUGAUUUAAGCUCAGGUCAUGAUCUCAGGUUUGUGAAAUCCAGCCCCAUGUCAGGCUGCACACUGAGGAUGGAACCUGUAUCAGAUUCCUUCUCUGCCUUCUCCCUUUGCCCACCACCCCUCCCCUCUUAAAAAAACAAAAACAAAUAAAUAAAUAAAAAUGGAGGUGCUUCCUUAACUUUCAUCUCUAUGUGGACUGAGGCUCUCCAUUUCACCAAAAUCUGGUUCCUUCUUUGGUAUCUUCUAGAAAUGCUUCACAGAAACUUUGGUGUCUUUCCAGUGUUGUAUGAAUCACUGCAUGGUUUCUGUUAUUUUAAUAGAACUGUAGAAGGACUUGAAUCCAAUAUGUCAUUUUGAUCUAGACCUCUCCCCAAAUUCAUAAUUUAUAUUUAUCUAAUAACUAAGCUUCUUAUACUUGGUCCCUUCUACACUCUUGGUCACCUAGGAGGCCAUCUUAUCACCAACAACUCUAUCUCACCCCUACCUCAAACAUAGUCUUUUAAAAAAAAUUUUAAACAAAAACUAGUAAAAUCAGGAGAAGGGGAAGGGAAAUGCGGGAAGAGACUAGCAUGACUGCUUCUGAAGAGGCCCAAAUUGGUGGCAGCAUGGACUGAAUUUACCACACCCAAGGCCAGCCUUGCAGGCCCCCCUGAUUUUGUCUGCAUACCAAAUAGAGAACCAGCUAUCUGGGUAGGAACUAUCAAAUAAAGUCACACUGUUAAUCUAAAAUAUAAACUGUAAAAUAAAUUAAUUAAUUAAUUAAAUAAAAUAUAAACUGUAACUAUCACAAGGACUAAAACACUUCUGCCUGCAUGACUACUCCAUUUUCUGUCCAUCAGAACUACCGUGGAUUCCAAAUUGUAAUCAAGUUUGUCAUUAAUGCCUCUGAAAUGUAUGCUCAAAAAUGGUGAAAGUGAUAAAUCUUAUGCUUAGGUGUAUUUUACACAUACAUAAAGUUUGUAUUUACAGCAAGGACAAUUUGGUAGGCAAAGUAAACGUCAAAUAAUGUAAGUCUGAUAAUAAGAUAAUCUGAUACUAUCUAUGUCUAGUUAAAAACAACCUUACCAAUAAAAACAGAAUUAUCAAAUACAUUUUGCCGUGCAUUAUCAAUAUUUGCCCUUGUAGUUCUUUUUUCUAUAUGUCCAUGACUUUUGGUAUACAAAUUGCUGCAUAUAUUUUAUUUUCACCUCAUUCUUAGAAAGCGUUAAUGGCUUUUUAGUUAUGCUACAUAAUACUGUACUAUUCUAAAAUAUAAUAGUAUAUUAUAAAAUAUUAAGAUUUUAAAAUGCAAUUAAAAUUAAAUAAUUAUAAAUACAAAAUAAGUAUAUUUUAUAAUAUGCUAUAGCAUAGUCAUAUAAAAUAUAAGAAAUUUGUAACACAGAUAGUUAAAUCUUGGCAACUCUAAGGAACCAUUCUGCCUCCUGAACCAGGGUCAUAAAUUCAAAUGUUUACAGGCACAGGCAGUUAAUAUAAAUAUGUUAAGUCUGAGACACAAGGUUGGAGAAGCAGGAAAGGAACAAAACAUACAGAACUACAGAUGCCAUACUAAAAGAAUUUGGAUGUUCACUGACAUGUACAAAAAGCCAGUGAAGAAUUUCAAGUAGAGAAUGAUACAACAGAGAGCUUGUUGUAUGGGAAAACAGUUCUAUUACUAGAACUUCAACUUGUAAGAAUUACAUAAUCUAAUGGGAGAAAAAGAACAAGAACAAAGUCCAAUUUCCUGACUCCUCUAAAAAUUUGCAACAGAUCAUUCCAGUGCUUUUGUAAGAUAUUAUGAGAAUUCCCGAAACCUGUGCCUGUUGACUAAAGGGCAGAAACUCCUGUUUUGAUAGAGGAGUUACAGGCACUAGAAAUCUGAGGACACUAGAAAUGUUCUUGAA